RNAcentral lists this ribosomal RNA (1302 nucleotides) under metagenome. Its description in RNAcentral is "bacterial LSU rRNA". It matches the Rfam family "Bacterial large subunit ribosomal RNA", at positions 1635 to 2925 of the family's 2925-position model. The record is from RNAcentral.
UACACGACCGUACCGCAAACCGACACUGGUGCGCGAGAUGAGUAUUCUAAGGCGCUUGAGAGAACUCAGGAGAAGGAACUCGGCAAAUUGACACCGUAACUUCGGAAGAAGGUGUGCCUUUAGUAGGUGAAGGGAUUUACUCCUAGAGCCCAAUGAGGUUGCAAAAAAUCGGUGGCUGCGACUGUUUAUUAAAAACACAGCACUCUGCAAACACGAAAGUGGACGUAUAGGGUGUGACGCCUGCCCGGUGCUGGAAGAUUAAAUGAUGGGGUGCAAGCUCUUGAUUGAAGUCCCAGUAAACGGCGGCCGUAACAAUAACGGUCCUAAGGUAGCGAAAUUCCUUGUCGGGUAAGUUCCGACCUGCACGAAUGGCGUAACGAUGGCCACACUGUCUCCUCCUGAGACUCAGCGAAGUUGAAAUGUUUGUGAUGAUGCAAUCUCCCCGCGGAAAGACGGAAAGACCCCAUGAACCUUUACUGUAGCUUUGUAUUGGACUUUGAACAGAUCUGUGUAGGAUAGGUGGGAGGCUUUGAAGUAGGGUCGCUAGAUCUUAUGGAGCCAACGUUGAAAUACCACCCUGGUGUGUUUGAGGUUCUAACCUAGGUCCAUUAUCUGGAUCGGGGACAGUGCAUGGUAGGCAGUUUGACUGGGGCGGUCUCCUCCCAAAGCGUAACGGAGGAGUUCGAAGGUACGCUAGUUACGGUCGGACAUCGUGACGAUAGUGCAAUGGCAUAAGCGUGCUUAACUGCGAGACUGACAAGUCGAGCAGAUGCGAAAGCAGGACAUAGUGAUCCGGUGGUUCUGUGAGGAAGGGCCAUCGCUCAACGGAUAAAAGGUACUCUGGGGAUAACAGGCUGAUACCGCCCAAGAGUUCAUAUCGACGGCGGUGUUUGGCACCUCGAUGUCGGCUCAUCUCAUCCUGGGGCUGUAGCCGGUCCCAAGGGUAUGGCUGUUCGCCAUUUAAAGAGGUACGUGAGCUGGGUUUAAAACGUCGUGAGACAGUUUGGUCCCUAUCUUCCGUGGGCGCUGCAGACUUGAGGAAGCCUGCUCCUAGUACGAGAGGACCGGAGUGGACACACCUCUGGUGUAUCGGUUGUCACGCCAGUGGCAUUGCCGAGUAGCUAAGUGUGGAAGAGAUAACCGCUGAAAGCAUCUAAGCGGGAAACUCGUUUCAAGAUGAGAUCUGCCGGGGCCUUGAGCCCCCUAAAGAGUCGUUCAAGACCAGGACGUUGAUAGGUCGGGUGUGGAAGCGCAGUAAUGCGUUAAGCUAACCGAUACUAAUUGCUCGUGCGGCUUGACCCC